Molecule: ribosomal RNA, 460 nt
Filed under: uncultured bacterium
Lineage: Bacteria
Description: partial 16S ribosomal RNA
Rfam family: Bacterial small subunit ribosomal RNA
Source: RNAcentral
CCUACGGGUGGCAGCAGUGAGGAAUAUUGGUCAAUGGACGAGAGUCUGAACCAGCCAAGUAGCGUGAAGGAUGACUGCCCUAUGGGUUGUAAACUUCUUUUAUAUGGGAAUAAAACGUUCCACGUGUGGGAUUUUGUAUGUACCAUAUGAAUAAGGAUCGGCUAACUCCGUGCCAGCAGCCGCGGUAAUACGGAGGAUCCGAGCGUUAUCCGGAUUUAUUGGGUUUAAAGGGAGCGUAGGUGGAUUGUUAAGUUAGUUGUGAAAGUUUGCGGCUCAACCGUAAAAUUGCAGUUGAAACUGGCAGUCUUGAGUACAGUAGAGGUGGGCGGAAUUCGUGGUGUAGCGGUGAAAUGCUUAGAUAUCACGAAGAACUCCGAUUGCGAAGGCAGUUCACUGGACUGCAACUGACACUGAGGCUCGAAAGUGUGGGUAUCAAACAGGAUUAGAUACCCUUGUAGUC